GGUAACAGAAUGGGUCCUCAUCUCAGGAUGUUUCCAAAAUUGCACCAUGUCCUGAAAGUAACCCCUCUUGCGGAGACCUGAGGCUUCUUCAGCUGAAGCCAGAUGCAAACCCUGGGAAGUAUAUUUGAACACAUACCAGGUCAUGGUUUGGAAACCUGGGGACUUACUGUCAAAAUGUAGGACCCUUUCUCCUCUAGUAUGAGGUGGGGAAAGAGGAUCCACAUUUCCUUGUCACAAGCUCCUGUCUCCUCCUGUGCAUCCCCACCCAGACUACAUCACAUUUGACAUCCAGCUAACCAAGCAGGGCUGGACAGACCCUACACCACUUGUUAAGCAAGGACUCCUUUCAGCUGCUUAGUAACCCAAGCUGCUCCCCACUCCUCUAUGGGAGCCAAGCACUCAGCCUCAGUGGUGCACAGAGCUUGGGGAAAGAACAUGGCUUUGUGAGUCAGGCUUAACUAGUGGACUUCAAACCCGGAUCAAAUUUUAGUUUAGUUUUGAUUUUUGGACACCCAUCCUUAAAGAAUCUGUUCUUUGCAGAUACAAUAGACUGCACUGAACCUGUUUGUUCUGUGCAAACUACUGGAAGGUGUCAUGAGCCUCUCUGUGUGGUGAGGGAGGAGCAGUAGACAGACAGAAGCAGUGUGAGCUCCACCACCAAGUCCCAUUGAAGUGGCUGACCUGGAUGGACCAUCUCCAGGAGUAAUACAGUACAGAGAUAACUCUGGAUGUCCAGAUCUGAGCUGUAAUCUCUGUGGGCCUUGGGAAAAUCAUUUAACAUCCUAGUCCUUCAUUUUGCCAUCUGUCUAGUGGGGUGCUUUGUAAAUUAUUUGUGAGAUCUAGGGAUUAAAAAUGCACAGUGUGUGCAAAUAAUAGUAACGAUUAUUUUAUU
Chelonoidis abingdonii (Abingdon island giant tortoise) is the source of this 892-nucleotide long non-coding RNA. RefSeq lists it as uncharacterized. NCBI's taxonomy places the organism in Eukaryota, Metazoa, Chordata, Testudines, Testudinidae. The record is from RefSeq and is a predicted model, not a curated record.